CAUGCUUUACACAUGCAAGUCGAACGGGGUUGGGAGCUUGCUUCCAAUCUAGUGGCGAACGGGUGAGUAAUACAUCGGAACGUACCGUGUAGUGGGGAUAACGUAGCGAAAGUUACGCUAAUACCGCAUACGAUCCACGGAUGAAAGCAGGGGACCUUCGGGGCCUUGUGCUAUACGAGCGGCCGAUGUCUGAUUAGCUAGUUGGUGAGGUAAAGGCUCACCAAGGCGACGAUCAGUAGCGGGUCUGAGAGGAUGAUCCGCCACACUGGGACUGAGACACGGCCCAGACUCCUACGGGAGGCAGCAGUGGGGAAUUUUGGACAAUGGGCGCAAGCCUGAUCCAGCCAUGCCGCGUGUCUGAAGAAGGCCUUCGGGUUGUAAAGGACUUUUGUCAGGGAGCAAAACUUACUGGUUAAUACCUGGUGAGGUUGAGAGUACCUGAAGAAUAAGCACCGGCUAACUACGUGCCAGCAGCCGCGGUAAUACGUAGGGUGCAAGCGUUAAU
RNAcentral lists this ribosomal RNA (505 nucleotides) under uncultured bacterium. RNAcentral's name for it is "bacterial SSU rRNA". It matches the Rfam family "Bacterial small subunit ribosomal RNA", at positions 43 to 543 of the family's 1533-position model. The record is from RNAcentral.